UGGGCGCGUCCUCGAAGGGCGCCGGAGCCCGGCAGACGGCGUGGAGUACGAGCCCGGCCGGCGUCCUCCGGACCAGCCUGGGCCCAGCCUACCUCGGCGGGUGCCUUUUUCGCCUCCGCGAAAGCGCCGCGUCCGACCGGAAGUAGCUGCUCCGACCCAGCACGCAGGGUAGGAAGAAGGAGAAUCCGUCUCUUCACUCACAGCUUCCGAGCCUCCCAGCAGAGCCUUCGGGAGCUCAAAGAAGAGAGCGACGUCUUCCGGGCCGGGAAGGCCCCGCCGCUCGCUACUGCCUACCUCUCGCCGCGUCCCCUCCUUCUCCUGGCGGCGGAACCCACGGAGGGGACGGCCAGAACCUCCCGGAGGCAGGCCGGAGGGCUGCUCGCCCCGCCCGGCCCCGGAGGCAGCGGCCGUCUCGUGACGUCACGCCGGAGUUCCCGCGGCGCCACGCCCCUUUCCCCCGGGCCGCCGGGCCGCGGCCGAGCGAGUUGGCGGGUGGGAAGUGCUUUGGUGUGGAGCUUCCCGAGGGCCCGAGGAGCCUGGCGGACUCCGGCAGCCUUCGUGGAGUUCCCGGGAAAUAGUCCACCUGUUGGGAACUUGACCGCGAGCCCUUCCUUGGGUUGGGAGAAAGUCCGGACUGUCCUUGACUGCCGCGCUAUUCGUGGCAGGCCUGGGAUGUACCACACCUAGAGAUGAGAGGAAGGAUGUGGUGGGAUGGAUAGGCUCAUCCUUGGUUUCGGCGUUAUAGCCAUUGCCUGCAGUUCGGUAAUGGGCACCUGGGCCCGCGUUGGGUGGGAACACCACAACUCAGAAGGAGGCUGCUAAAGUUAGAUGAUGAGUUUCUGGCAAGUGCGGAGUAAAACAUGUGAAAAGUGUAUAGAAUUAUUUGUUAACAGGCCGUUGAGUACCCCAGGUGGGCUUCAAAUUCACUGUGCAUGGUCUUGAAUUGAUUCUCCUGUUUCCAUCUUCUGAAUUCUGGUAUUAUACCAUAAUAAUCAUAGACGUGUGGCAGCCACCACACCAGGUCAGUUUAUUGUAUUUUUUGGCAGUGCUGGGCAUCUAACCCAGGGCUUUGUGCAUGCUACGUAAACACUCCAUCAACUAAGCCACAUUCCUAGCCCUGCUGUACUUUUUUUUUUUUAAUCAGAAUUUUCUGCGGCUUAUUUUAAGGUUGUAAGUCAGUACAAUUUGAAUGUAAACAACAGGUUCUAUAAAGGAAGCAAAUAGAAUCACAGUCUCAUGUUAAACCAGUCCACUAAUUUUCUGUGAUACUUCUGUGCCUUAGAAGAUCUGGGGACAGAUUUUAAAAGUCGAGUAGUGCUGGACAUGGUGACUCAAGCCUAUAGUCCCAGCUCUGAGAAGGCAAAAAGAGCGGUAAGACUGGCCAAUUUGAGGCCAGCCUAGAAGGCAGUUUUCUACUCCUCUCAGGUCUUAAGGGAUAAAUACUUUACUUACUCUUUGGGAUUACACAUUCCAGGGAAUUCAUCUUCCACAGCCAUACAAAAGUUGGAGGCUUUAAGAGGCUGCCUAGUAUUUAAUACUGUUACAAUAUUUUCCCAGUUUUUUUUUUUUUUAAGGAUUUUAGUAUUAUUUUCUGUGUAUGGGUGUUUGCCUACAUAUGUAUGUGUACCACAUGCAUGCCUGGUACCUACAGAGGCCAGAAGAGGGCAUUGGGUCCUCUAGAACUGGACCAAUAGAUGGUUGUGAGCCAUAUGUAGACAUUGGGAACGGAACCUGGUCCUCUGCAAGAGUGGCCAGUGUUCUUAAUUUAAUUACUGAAUCAUCUUCCAGCCCCUUCUCCAUUUUAUAAGACUUAAUGAAAAUUGGGUUAUAUUUUUCCUCUAGCAAACUCUCUAUCACAAAGUUACGUACUAAAAUUUGCAUAAUAGGACUUACAUAGUUUCUAGUAGAAAUAGCAAGUUUGGGUAUAGAUGGGUAGAGCCUAUGAUCAGUUUGUCAUUGAAUCGAAUAUUUAAGAAUAGUUUUCUAAGCCUGGUGGUAGUGGCACACGCCUUUAAUCCCAGCACUUGGGAGGCAGAAGCAGGCAGAUUUCUGAGUUCGAGGCCAGCCAGGUUUACAGAGUGAGUUCUAGGACAGCCAGGGCUACACAGAGAAACCCUGACUCCAAAACAAAACAAAAAGAAUAGUUUUCCAAAGAAAAGAUCCUGGAGAGAUGAUGGCUCAGUCGUUAAGAGAACACUUAAUGCUCUUAGGGAGGACCCAGGUUCUGUUCUUAGCACCCCCAUUAGGCAAUUCACAACAAGCUGCAGUAUUUGUUUCAAGAUUCAGAAUUAUGAGUGCAUCUGCAUGUACAUAAAUUCACACGGGACACAUACAUAUAAAUACAAAAUAAAUCUUUUCAAAAAGA
RNAcentral lists this long non-coding RNA (2365 nucleotides) under Mus musculus (house mouse). RNAcentral's name for it is "predicted gene, 50069". Lineage: Eukaryota; Metazoa; Chordata; Mammalia; Rodentia; Muridae. The record is from RNAcentral.